This 465-nucleotide ribosomal RNA is filed under the name Vreelandella stevensii. Its description in RNAcentral is "partial 16S ribosomal RNA". It matches the Rfam family "Bacterial small subunit ribosomal RNA", at positions 338 to 795 of the family's 1533-position model. The record is from RNAcentral. Lineage: Bacteria; Pseudomonadati; Pseudomonadota; Gammaproteobacteria; Oceanospirillales; Halomonadaceae.
CCUACGGGUGGCAGCAGUGGGGAAUAUUGGACAAUGGGCGAAAGCCUGAUCCAGCCAUGCCGCGUGUGUGAAGAAGGCCUUCGGGUUGUAAAGCACUUUCAGUGGGGAAGAAAGCCUUGGGGCUAAUACCCUCGAGGAAGGACAUCACCCACAGAAGAAGCACCGGCUAACUCCGUGCCAGCAGCCGCGGUAAUACGGAGGGUGCGAGCGUUAAUCGGAAUUACUGGGCGUAAAGCGCGCGUAGGCGGUCUGAUAAGCCGGUUGUGAAAGCCCCGGGCUCAACCUGGGAACGGCAUCCGGAACUGUCAGGCUAGAGGGCAGGAGAGGAAGGUAGAAGUCCCGGUGUAGCGGUGAAAUGCGUAGAGAUCGGGAGGAAUACCAGUGGCGAAGGCGGCCUUCUGGACUGACACUGACGCUGAGGUGCGAAAGCGUGGGUAGCAAACAGGAUUAGAUACCCCAGUAGUC